This 2389-nucleotide long non-coding RNA is filed under the name Equus caballus (horse). RNAcentral's name for it is "lncRNA (ENSECAG00000048970.1)". Lineage: Eukaryota; Metazoa; Chordata; Mammalia; Perissodactyla; Equidae. The record is from RNAcentral.
GUUAAAAAUAACCUUUAAGAAAGGUUAUAUUACUGCUGAGGCCUAGCCAAACCUUUUGGAUGGAAAUCUGCAUCCAUCAUACUCAGAUCUGUCAAAGUAAGUCUGUGAGUGAGUCAUACAUCAAACUUAAUCAUUGGGCCUCAGAAAAUGGACAAGAACUGUAAAACACAUACGACGGGAAUGAUUUGACCUCACUAAUUACGAGGAGGAAGCUCGGCGCAGGUGUCUUCCUGUAGUUAACGGCAAUACUCCUGAGAACUGAGUGCACUGCAAGUUACAGUGUGUUUCUACUCAAAAGACAGUUCACCUUGUGCACCUGUGUCCUGACUCUGCUGGAAAAAAAGAAAACACAAGCUGUGGAGUAGCAACCAUGGCAAGAGGAAAGCCAGAUGUUUAUUUCAACUCUAUGGACCAACUGUUACGAGAAAUCAAAGAUCCAGAUAUGCUGCCUAGUGGAAGAGCUUGCUUAGGAAGGAAGCCAAAUUGAGUGGUGUCUUCUCUCCACUUUCUCCAGUACUAGAUUAAUGGAUAACAUGGCAGCGAAAUAGCAAUUGGAAUGAAGAAAUCUCGUUCAAUAGGGAAGGAGUAGUUUUCUCUUGUUUUGGGUGAUGGAUGGAAGAGUAAGUACCUUUGCAAGUAAAAUGAACCAACUCGUGGAAUGUGAUUCCUUCCUCUUUGAGCUGUCUCCACAAUGGAGGAGAGACUCAGAACAACACUGCUCUGACCAAGAUUUACAAACAAAAAGUUACACUUCGUUACAAGGUUGAACACUGUGAAGUGUUGUUCUGGAGAAAGCGGUUUUUAAUCUGGCUGAACAGGGACAGGGCAGCUUGUUCCACAAGGUUUGGCUGGGCUCAGUCUCCGUUCAUUCUGUGUUUCCCGUGAGUCAGGCACUUUGUCAAGUCAAGGGGAUAAAGAUGAAUGAGAAAUAUCCGUGCUCAAGAGGCAAAUUGUUUCAUCAAAGAAUUGGAACUAGCCACGGCAACGUCUCCAGCAAAUGGAACCAUGUGGUAUGGGUGCUAAGGUGCCGGGUGCACCAGGAUGAAAAGCCCCCCAUCUGGAGGGGCAUCCAAAGAGGGCCGCAGGACUCUCUGGAGGAGGAAAGCUGAGCCACGACUUGAAGCUGAGGAGUAGGUUAAGGCUUAGAGGAAGAGAGCACAAUGGCAAAGACACAGAGCCAAGAACCACAACCUGUGCGAAACUUAUGACCUAAUGAGGGAGAGAGAGAAGUGAAACAAUGAUUACAAUAUAUUUAAAAUUAUAAUACAUUUAUACUAGGGCACUGAAGGAUCUCAGAGAAGUAACUCUGACAUAACAGAUGUUUUCAAAUAUUCUACAUACUAUCUCAUUUAAUAAGUAAACAUUAUUAUAUCAUCAUGGCAAUUGGCAUUUGCUUAAGCAAAUAACAUAGACAAUUGUCAUUAUUUAAAUGAAAAAGAAUUAAAUGUUGAUAACGGUUGAAAUAAAUGUUCAUCUAGAGGUGACCUAUAUGCUAAAGUUUCAAACUUACUUGCUUCUUUGCAACUCAGACAAACGCCUGCUUGCACACAUGCCUAGGAGAUUUAUCUUUGUCACCAAUGUCCCAUCAGACAUUUGAGGAGUUUCAUCAAUGUCAGCCAAGAACCAUUUGUAACAUUGAAUGAGUACAACUUUGAAGCUAUACCUCAUGUAAUUCAGUUUUUGCCGAGCUGGAAAUGUGCACAGGAUAGAUGGCAGAGCUCUAUUAUGGGAUGAACAGGGUGACUGCAAACAGGGCAGGAAAGAAAUUCUCUGAGGACGUCUGGAAGCCAAUUGCCUGCAAUGCAGCACAGCUCUCGGCUGCUAUGAAACAAACGAGGCCAACAAAUCAACCUCAGGAAGAUUAGCCCUGAGCUAACAUCUGCUGCCAAUCCUCCUCUUUUUGCUGAGGAAGACUGGCCCUGAGCUAACAUCCAUGCCCAUCUUCCUCUACUUUAUACGUGGGACGCCUACCACAGCAUGGCUUGCCAAGUGGUGCCAUGUCCACACCUGGGAUCCGAACCUGCGAACCCCACCCCUGGGCCACUGAAGCAGAACAUGUGCACUUAACCGCUGUGCCACUGGGCCGGCCCUGUCAAGAUCUUUAAAACUAUAGAAAUAUCUCCUGGGGUUUCUUUCAUUAAACAAAUAAUAAAACAUUGUGAUGUAAUUAGCACCAUACUUGACGAGUUCCUGUUUGACUUCUCGCUCACUGUGCUUCAUUGGGCUCUUCUUUGAGUGGACCCCCAUACAGACUGAUGAGGUCACAGCAGAAGCAACUCAAAAGCAAUUCUGCAGAGGGCUAUCAUGGUGUCAGUGAGGUUCCGAGAUCUUUACUGAUCCUUUGUCGAUCCACUGCCUUUUUUGUUAAGAAAUAUCUGGAAGAAUGAAU